UCCCUGAUAGCUCAGUUGCUAAAGAAUCUACCUGCAAUGCAGGAGACCCUGGUGUGAUUCCUGGUUUGGGAA
This 72-nucleotide transfer RNA is filed under the name Bos taurus (domestic cattle). It matches the Rfam family "tRNA". From Rfam's summary of the family: Transfer RNA (tRNA) molecules are approximately 80 nucleotides in length. Their secondary structure includes four short double-helical elements and three loops (D, anti-codon, and T loops). Lineage: Eukaryota; Metazoa; Chordata; Mammalia; Artiodactyla; Bovidae. RNAcentral also lists the same sequence under 3 other names. The record is from Rfam by way of RNAcentral.